ACUAGGCCAUAUUCCCAGCCGAUUUUUUUUUUUUUUUGCUAUACUAAAUUUUCAAGUUUGAGGUUGUCAUCUUCUGCAGAAAAUUGCUAAUAGUGGGUUAAAAGAACAUUUGAUCACAGUAAAAUCAUUACCUCCUUCAUUUGUUGGCAAAGCAGUACUUUUGAGAAAAAAUUAUAAAAAUAUGACAACACAAAAAUGUCCCUGAGAGAGUUGAGUUAUAUUUAUGUGCUCCAGUGGAUCUAUUCCAGAAUUGGAGAUUCCAGUCAUAAGCUAUGGUCUCUCAUAACCACAUACCUGUUUUACAUUAAUCAGAAGCCAAAACUGCCCUGGGAUAUGUGUGCAGGAAUUAAAAAGAGUUUGAUAAACCCUGGUUUUAAGAGUUGUUGAAGGAAAUCAGUGGACUGAGGAUUUGGUGCUCAAAACCAAAACUCUUUUUCCUGUCUCCCUUCUUCCCAUGGUCUGUCUACACCUGCUAGGGUUGAAUAGCACCCAUUGCUCCCCUGUGGGGCUUCAAAGCCACACUGAGCUGAGCAACUAGAGAACCUCCACCUCAGCUUCCCUGGGCACCCAGGGAGCCCACACACAGAUGUCCCCAUGCCAUUUUGUUUGUGACUUGUAGGCCUUCCCUAUAACUGUACUAGCUUUUUUUUGACAUUGCUCUCUAUUCCUAGAGUAGAACUUCUUCUGAUUUCCCCAUAGUAUAGAUUCCCCAUCUCUUAAACUAAAGCUCAACAGUAGUAGUUCAGUGGUAAUUAAUUCAUGUCUUCUGCAUUCUCAAGGCCCCAAGUAACACUCUCUGUCUUUCUCUCUGUCUGUCUCUGUGUGUGUGUCUGGGUGUCUGUGUCUGUGUCUGUCUGUCUGU
Perognathus longimembris pacificus (Pacific pocket mouse) is the source of this 862-nucleotide long non-coding RNA. RefSeq lists it as uncharacterized. Lineage: Eukaryota; Metazoa; Chordata; Mammalia; Rodentia; Heteromyidae. The transcript is spliced from 5 exons. The record is from RefSeq and is a predicted model, not a curated record.